CAGCCGCCGCGGUAAAACCAGCACCUCAAGUGGUCAGGAUGAUUAUUGGGCCUAAAGCAUCCGUAGCCGGCUCUGUAAGUUUUCGGUUAAAUCUGUACGCUCAACGUACAGGCUGCCGGGAAUACUGCAGAGCUAGGGAGUGGGAGAGGUAGACGGUACUCGGUAGGAAGGGGUAAAAUCCUUUGGUCUAUUGAUGACCACCUGUGGCGAAGGCGGUCUACCAGAACACGUCCGACGGUGAGGGAUGAAAGCUGGGGGAGCAAACCGGAUUAGAUACCCGGGUAGUCCCAGCUGUAAACUAUGCAAACUCAGUGAUGCAUUGGCUUGUGGCCAAUGCAGUGCUGCAGGGAAGCCGUUAAGUUUGCCGCCUGGGAAGUACGUACGCAAGUAUGAAACUUAAAGGAAUUGGCGGGGGAGCAC
This 420-nucleotide ribosomal RNA is filed under the name uncultured Nitrososphaerota archaeon. RNAcentral's name for it is "bacterial SSU rRNA". It matches the Rfam family "Archaeal small subunit ribosomal RNA", at positions 459 to 879 of the family's 1478-position model. The record is from RNAcentral. Lineage: Archaea; Thermoproteati; Nitrososphaerota.